UUGAUUACGUCCCUGCCCUUUGUACACACCGCCCGUCGCUGCCCGGGACUGAGCCAUUUCGAGAAAUUUGGGGACCGUUGAUUAAACAUUUAUUUGUUUUUUUGAUGGAAACCAAUUUAAUCGCAGUGGCUUGAACCGGGCAAAAGUCGUAACAAGGUAGCUGUAGGUGAACCUGCUGCUGGAUCAUUA
This 189-nucleotide ribosomal RNA is filed under the name Meloidogyne graminicola. RNAcentral's name for it is "partial 18S ribosomal RNA". It matches the Rfam family "Eukaryotic small subunit ribosomal RNA", at positions 1641 to 1831 of the family's 1831-position model. The record is from RNAcentral. Lineage: Eukaryota; Metazoa; Nematoda; Chromadorea; Rhabditida; Meloidogynidae.